AAUAGAGGAGAUUUAUUUCUAUGGAGAAAUAUUUUAUAAAAUUUUGUAAUAAAAUUAGUGUUAGUAUUUUGUUUUGUCUAUAAGAUAUUAAUUAUUUUGGUUGUUUGUAGUUAGUUUAAGCAUUUAGUUUUUAAUAAUUAGGUAAUUUAAUUUAAGUUUUAUAUUUUUAGUGAGUAAUAAGGUGCCAGCACUCGCGGUUAUACUUUGUCUGUGAUUUUUUUUUUAAUAAUAGUUUUGAAUUCUUUUUUUUUCAUUCUAGAUAUUUUUUAUAUUAGUAAAAUGAUUUAAAUAAUAAUUUAAUUAGUGUGUUAUUUAGGAUUUGUGAAAAUAAUUUGUGGACAAGGAUUAGAUACCCUUUUACUUUUAUUAAUUUUGCUAGGAUUAUUAGUGUUAGAUGAAAUUUUUUUGGAUUUGGCGGUUGAAUAUCUGAUUAGAGAAAUUUGUAGUUGUUAAUGAUGGUGCACAUUUGUGAAAUUCCAAUAUUGUGAUUCAUUUAAAUAUCAUUAUUUAAAGAAAUUUUAUUUUUGAAUUUUUCUUUUUAUAUUUAGUUUAUUAUUUAUUAAUUAUUUAUAGGUAUCAUAAAUAAGAUUUAGAUUAUAUAUGGUUUACUAUGAAUUGCUUUGGUUAUGUAGGAUUUAAUAGUAAGUUUAUAUAAUUUAGAUAAGUUGAAUUUUAGAUAUAUUUAAUGUACAUAUUGCCCGUCAGUCUUUAGUAUAAGAUAAGUCGUAACAUGGUUAAUGUUUUGGAAGAAGUAUUUG
Molecule: ribosomal RNA, 758 nt
Filed under: Parasacculina shiinoi
Lineage: Eukaryota; Metazoa; Arthropoda; Thecostraca; Polyascidae
Description: 12S ribosomal RNA
Source: RNAcentral